Molecule: ribosomal RNA, 393 nt
Filed under: uncultured bacterium
Lineage: Bacteria
Description: bacterial SSU rRNA
Rfam family: Bacterial small subunit ribosomal RNA
Source: RNAcentral
GUGUCAGCAGCCGCGGUAAUACGUAGGGUGCAAGCGUUAAUCGGAAUUACUGGGCGUAAAGCGUGCGCAGGCGGUUCGGAAAGAAAGGUGUGAAAUCCCAGGGCUUAACCUUGGAACUGCACUUUUAACUGCCGGGCUAGAGUACGUCAGAGGGGGGUAGAAUUCCACGUGUAGCAGUGAAAUGCGUAGAUAUGUGGAGGAAUACCGAUGGCGAAGGCAGCCCCCUGGGAUGAUACUGACGCUCAUGCACGAAAGCGUGGGGAGCAAACAGGAUUAGAUACCCUGGUAGUCCACGCCCUAAACGAUGUCAACUAGCUGUUGGGGUUUAUUAACCUUGGUAGCGCAGCCAACGCGUGAAGUUGACCGCCUGGGGAGUACGGUCGCAAGAUUAAA